GCCUUCGUGGUGUAACGGUUAGCACACUCGGCGCGUAUUCGAGAGGUCCAGGUUCGAGUCCCGGCGAGGGCA
This 72-nucleotide transfer RNA is filed under the name Stegodyphus mimosarum. It matches the Rfam family "tRNA". Rfam says of the family: Transfer RNA (tRNA) molecules are approximately 80 nucleotides in length. Their secondary structure includes four short double-helical elements and three loops (D, anti-codon, and T loops). Lineage: Eukaryota; Metazoa; Arthropoda; Arachnida; Araneae; Eresidae. The record is from Rfam by way of RNAcentral.